GCAAACUACACUCUUCAGUACUACUUCAGUUAUUCAGUUCAGCUGCAUGAAGACCUGAAGCUGCUCGACAACAACGCUUAUCAGCAGAGACACCGCUAACAGUGCAAGGUGGCCCAUAGUAACAGAGAAUCCAAUGGACAGAGCAGCAGAACCCAGACGUCCAUUUCUUCUUUCAUCAGUGACAGCGAAAACGCAGACCACCAACUGCAUAGUGAGGAACACCUCCACUGUGGUGGCCAUUCCCAGACUCAUGCCAGGCUGAAGCUGGAGAGAAACAUCAACAGGACAUGGGCUGAAAUUAGAAAGGUAUCUCCUUUCAGAAAGAGGCUAAUUAAUUCCAGUGGAGGAGACGGCAGGAGGCCCGGGCACAAAGGGAUCUCUCCUCCCCUUCUCCAGCUCAAUCAAACCUCCAGCACCAUCAGCCAUGAGAUUUCAGCACAGCAUGAUGAUCAACAUCAGCUUCAGUUCGGUACAACAACAACAACAAGUCUCCGCUACAUGCUAACAGGUUGCUCAUUUCAGCUGCUCCUCACAGUCACUUUGAGGAUCUAAGUGUUGGCCGGUAUGGUUUUUAGGAUAUAAUUAAAGCUUUAUUAUGUGCCACUGUUGGGUUUGGGUGCCGACAUGCUUUAAUUAUAAAGCACCGAAAACACAAGUGCGCACAUAUAU
RNAcentral lists this long non-coding RNA (669 nucleotides) under Danio rerio (zebrafish). RNAcentral describes it as "si:ch211-147f12.7 (ENSDARG00000097678.3)". Lineage: Eukaryota; Metazoa; Chordata; Actinopteri; Cypriniformes; Danionidae. The record is from RNAcentral.